Long non-coding RNA from Hipposideros armiger (great roundleaf bat), 218 nucleotides. RefSeq lists it as uncharacterized. The record is from RefSeq and is a predicted model, not a curated record. The transcript has 3 exons. Lineage: Eukaryota; Metazoa; Chordata; Mammalia; Chiroptera; Hipposideridae.
GCCGGUAUAAGGUCAUGGCGCCGACUCCCGCAGCGUCCGCACAGGCCCAGCCCGGGGUUGGGAGCCAGCGGCGUCGUCCCGGGUCCAUGAAAUCUCAAUUCUGGAAACCACUGAUUUAGCUGAGGCAAUCUGAGUCAGGAUCUUUAUUACAGGGCUUUACUUGAAUUGUUCUAACGCCUGAAGAUGGGAUUGUUUGAUGAUCAUGGCAAUCGUCUGAU